Molecule: ribosomal RNA, 452 nt
Filed under: Dendropoma corrodens (ringed wormsnail)
Lineage: Eukaryota; Metazoa; Mollusca; Gastropoda; Littorinimorpha; Vermetidae
Description: partial 12S ribosomal RNA
Rfam family: Bacterial small subunit ribosomal RNA
Source: RNAcentral
UUUUGAGUGUAAACAGCUCAUAGCUGCCGGGGGACUACGAGAGAAAUAGUCUUAAAAUCCAAAAAGCCUGGCGGUGUCUUAGACUCUUCAGGGGAACUUGUCUCUGAAUCGAUGAUCCACGAAGAACCUUACCUUGUUUUGUAAUAUCUGCUUGCAUACCGUCGUCGUCAGUCUUUGUUAAUAUAAGAUGUAAGAAAAAGGCGUAUAAAAACUUUUGUUUCUUAUGUCAGAUCAGGGUACAGCUAAUAGCAAGGGGGGGGUGAGUUACAAUUAGGAUUUAUAAUACGGAGGAUUUGGGGAAGAUUACUAAAUCUGAAGGAGGACUUGAAAGUAAAGAUGAUUUAUAAGAAUUUCUUGAACAUAGUUAGGACGUGUACAAAUCGCCCGUCGCUUUCAUUGAAAAGUGAAAUAAGUCGUAACAUAGUAGGGGUAACGGAAGUUGUUCCUAAAUA